Oncorhynchus tshawytscha (Chinook salmon) is the source of this 1961-nucleotide long non-coding RNA. Lineage: Eukaryota; Metazoa; Chordata; Actinopteri; Salmoniformes; Salmonidae. The record is from Ensembl.
CCGCUUAAACGUGUUUGUUACUUUAGAUUGUCCAAUUACGUUUUAGAUCGACCGUCUCCAUUCUAACUAAUGGACUACAGUUGAGCCUAACAGAUGUCGCUGGUGUUCAUAACUCUCUCCUCAGCGUGUCAUUGAAACAGGCUUAUAUCACUGCCAUAAACAUCAAACAAAGUAUUUAUUUCGGAAGCAUAUUAUACCCUUAAAUCAAACUAGCUAUGGCUGAUACCGCAGUAGAGACGACCACAACCACCGAGAUUUCAGCAAAGGAGCUUAAAGAGAAGAAAGAGGUUGCCGAGGAGAGGAUGCAGAAGAAGAUGCAGAAGAAGCUGCUGAUGAGGAGGUUGACCACCCUGUGAAGCGCCCAGCUGAGGAGGAGGAACAAGGGGAAACAAAAAAACAGAAAACAGAAAACGAUGACUCAAAGGAAGCUGAAGUGGAGGCCUAGAACACUCCGUCUGUACUCUUCCGCAGCUCUGUCUACAUGACGUUGUCAACUUUACCUUGUAGAGCUUGUGCUUUAUGUAUGUUUUACAGAUUUUGUUUGCCCCCAAGAUAUUACAUUGCACUGGAGUCCUUAAACAUAGUGGCCUCCUCCCUUUUUUUAUAAGAUGUUAUUUAUUGGUUUCUUACGCAAAAAAAACUUGUGCAAAUAGGAUCCAUGCUGUUUUAUCAGUAUGUUAGUUUGUUGUUGUUACUGCUGACCAGUUGAUUCAGGCAGGCAGCUGCACCCUUCUCCACAUUUUCAAGGUGACCUCAGACUCACUAAAGACCAAAGAUAAGUUUUAAGCAGGGGCUAAUGGACUAUUGUUAGCAUUAUUAGUUCAGGCUUUUUUAAUACCUUUUGUUUAGUGCUGCUGCUAGUAGUUAAUCCUUUGUCUGACUGAUCUGUUAACACAACAAUGGCACAAAUAAAAGAACACCUCCGUGAUCAAAGAUGGCUUGAUCCUGUUUAGGGGUCUGGCUUCUGCAAUGUUAAUUACCCCCUGUUAAUUCUUAAGGCGUUGGUCAUAUGUUUUGUAUGCAUUUUAAAACAAGUUUGUACCCAAGAUACUGUUUUUCUGUUUUAUUUUCAGUUAUUUUUUUGUCUGGUUGACUCAAAUUGUCUAUAAUGGUCUAUAUCAGAACAACAUUCCCAACCUAGUGUUCUUUCUCUUCUAGUGCAGUUAUAUUUCAUGAUUGCUAUUUGGUUGCUUCGGCCACUGCUUUGUAUAUUCUGGUUGUUGAUGAUUAAAUAAGUCAGUCUUGUCUUUUUAACCAUGGUGUUUUGUUUUUGCAUACGCUGUAGUUAAAUGUGCUGGAUAUUUACCUGUUUAAAGGGCAAUUCUGCCACUUUUCAACCUCUUAUUCUUGAUCUCCAGUGCCAUACUAGUGUCUACAUAUCUGUAAACGGUACUUUUCCAUGGUCUGCGGUUAAGAUCCUAAAAAGCGCUUCUCUGUGACAUCACAGGGUAGAUUUCAAAGUAAAAAAUGUAAAUGUCAAACCCUGCCACGAGUUUCUAGCCAUAGAGAGGAUAUUUUCUUGCUCUCAGGGUUUUAAAAAUCAUUGCUUUAACUUGAUAUCAUCGGGUUGAAUUUUGUAACUUUUUUCCUACAAAACAGAAAUGCGCUGUUAAACACAUGUAGACACUGGUAUUGUGCUGGAGAUAAUGAAAAUGAGGUUAGUGGUGGAAUUGCCAUGUAAGAUGCUUUACACUGUUAACACCAAAUUACAAUUGUGCCUAACACUAGUGUUAACAAUUAAAUAAGGGAUGCUUUCAGUUAAAACAGUUCUAGCCAUGUAAAGUAUCUGAUGUCAGUUGACUUAAGGCAUAAGACGGAAUAUGGAUGGGAGUAAUUCCCAAGAUGAUUUUGUAACUGGGAAAGGGGUGAUUCUUGUCAUCUGGAUUUUGGCUUUUUUUUCUCCAUAGAACUACACUACACGUCAAUCAAUUGAAGUCCUGACGUGUUGCAGUUUAGACCCA